UUUGCAUUUAAAAUGGUAUUUUCAAGUAAUUUGAUGAACUUCUGGUUUAAGCCACGCCCACUUCCGGAUCUAUACGAAUACAUAUACAGAUACAAAUAAUGAGAUUGUCACAGAUACAGAUACAAAUAAUGGCUCCGCUGCACACCCCUAGUAGAUAGUAUAUAUAAUGGGUUCUAUGUUGUCUGUUGUCGAGUGGCACGGCGCGAGGAAGUCACGGACGGGUUUUCCCCAGGGAUGAACCCGCGAGAGUGGAAGAGCUCCGGAAAACAUCUGCACUGUGUGUCGAUGCACCUUAUGAGAGAAUGAGACCAGCAAGCAAGGCAACUGCAAUGAAGCAUCAAGAAAGACAUGGACAUGCCAGCCACCCUGAGACUGAUAAUUCAUGAGAAGACAUUUCUGUGACUAACAAAGUGGAUGGAGCAGCACCUGGGUUUUGCAGAUAGCUAUGUAUUCUUUGGCUGCUUGUCUUUCCCCCCCCAUUAUGUUUCUGUUGCCUAAAUAUUCUUUGUAAGGAUGAAUCCAGAGGACACAACAUAAUGCACUGCAAAACGUCCUAAGACAGGAGAAAUGGUGAAGAUGCACUGUUCCAGCAUUGGAAGUCUGUAUUUUUAAGUGUUAUACAUGCAAUGUUUUAAAUAAAGAAUUUUAUAUUUUGUAA
Molecule: long non-coding RNA, 658 nt
Organism: Onychostoma macrolepis
Lineage: Eukaryota; Metazoa; Chordata; Actinopteri; Cypriniformes; Cyprinidae
Exons: 3
Source: RefSeq, a predicted model, not a curated record